UACGUAGGGUGCGAGCGUUAAUCGGAAUUACUGGGCGUAAAGCGUGCGCAGGCGGUGAUGUAAGACAGGUGUGAAAUCCCCGGGCUUAACCUGGGAAUUGCAUUUGUGACUGCCCGGCUAGAGUUUGGCAGAGGGGGGUAGAAUUCCACGUGUAGCAGUGAAAUGCGUAGAUAUGUGGAGGAAUACCGAUGGCGAAGGCAGCCCCCUGGGUCAAGACUGACGCUCAUGCACGAAAGCGUGGGGAGCAAACAGG
Molecule: ribosomal RNA, 253 nt
Filed under: uncultured bacterium
Lineage: Bacteria
Description: partial 16S ribosomal RNA
Rfam family: Bacterial small subunit ribosomal RNA
Source: RNAcentral